Molecule: long non-coding RNA, 504 nt
Filed under: Olea europaea subsp. europaea
Lineage: Eukaryota; Viridiplantae; Streptophyta; Magnoliopsida; Lamiales; Oleaceae
Source: RNAcentral
CUAACAUCAAUGUGUUUGGUGCGUUCGUGAAAAUUAGGAUUUUUGCAUAUAUGUAUAGAAGAAUGACUAUCUGAAUAUACUACUACAUAGUCAUUUAAAACACAAAGUUAAUGAAAAAAACUUCGAAGCCACAAAGCCCCUUUAAUUGCUUUAGUGAUAGCAAUAUAUUCUGAUUCUGUCGUGGAUAGUGCAACUGUUUAUUGUAAUUGCGAUUUCCAACUAAUGCAAGAGUUAGAUAAAGUAAACACAUAUUUAGAAGUAAAUUUUCUAUUAUCCCUAUCUUCCACAUAAUCUACAUCUACAAAACCAACAAUUUCCUUUAAAUGCCUUAAUAUCCAUUUUAAGGCUUCUCAAUGACCGGGACCCAGAUUAGACGUACCUACUAAGAGUAAUAACAUCAAAAGCUAAAUUCAAUCUAGUGAAAACCACCAAAUACAUAAUAGAUCCAAUCACGUUCGAGUAUGGAAUCUUACUUAUGUAUUAUAUUUCUUUUUAUUACAAGGA